RNAcentral lists this long non-coding RNA (828 nucleotides) under Homo sapiens (human). RNAcentral's name for it is "non-protein coding LINC02158:12". Lineage: Eukaryota; Metazoa; Chordata; Mammalia; Primates; Hominidae. The record is from RNAcentral.
AGUGCGGUGCGAGAGGGCCCAGUGGCAGAGGCCCAGCAAACAGCGCUUGUCAGGCGGACCUGAGUUCGAGUUCUGACUGUGCCAUCUACGCUAUGACUUUGGGGCAGGCGACCCACCCUCUGCGCCUCAUUAACCCAUGUACUGCAUGGAAAAUAAGCGUCUGCCUGGGUUAGAAGAGGGCUGUGUGUGAAGAUUCAAAGGACGAAGGGGAAGAGUCCUCGCUGGGCGCCCAGCACGCGGACCGCGGCGGCUAGGUCACCUCCUCCGGACGCCGACACGCGCUGCCCUGGCAACCGUCACCAGGGAAACAAGCGACGUCACUUGCGCGUUUUCAACGCUACUCUACGGGGGCCGAGGGGGCGCCAAGAGUUCUGAAAGUGACAGAGGCGCUGAUGGCGCGCUGGGCUGGAUCCAAGCGAGCACGAUCUCGAGUGCGCUGGAGAUUUUAAAUCUUCUGGAGUAUAUUUUUAAAAAAGUUUUGUGGACCAAACGUUCUGCACAGAGAUGCCCAUUCCGCUCUCCUGUUGGGGAGUUAAAAAGCGAACGAUCUCACCAUGAAAUUUAAAGUAGCCAUUCAGAUAUAUUUGAAAAAUGUAAAACAGUGUGGGGAAAGGCCAUGUUAUGAUGGUGAGUGAAGGAAGCAGGACGCAAUAUAGCAAUGCUAAAUAAAUAAAGUUGUGUUUAUUUCAAACUAGGCACUAAAACAAGACCGAAAUAGAAAUAUUAAAAGUGGUUAUAUUUGGGUGGUGGAAUAGCAGUGCUGUGUUUUUAUUUUUACACUUUAGAGAAUUUUUAAAAUAAUGAACAUCGUUUAUUUUCAUAAAGGAA